CAACCUGUGCCUAAAACAGGUUGGAGUGGCCUUCUACACCGUGGGACGUUCCCUCAGCACUGUAUUUAAUGUUUUGCUGUCAUAUGGGAUCUUGAAACAAACCACUUCCUUCAAAGCCAUAUUGUGCUGUGGGGUCAUUCUCGGUACGUCGGUUCAUCUUUCUCUUAGUCUUUUCAUAAAAUGGACGAAUGUGUUCGGAAAUCUGAAGUGGUCUUGUGAUCUUAAAGAAACCCCACUUGAGUUAAAAAAUAAAAAUUAUGGCGCUAAAAUGGAAUUCUGGAGAGCGGACGUUGAUCUUCAUUUCGGUUAACAACAAAUUGUACCAAGUGGAGGAACAAGAAGAAUAGUUCAUCUCACUGUUUACAAAUAAUAGUCUAAUAAUAGUAUUGCUGCCACACACCCCAAAACAAAAACAAAAAGUUUACUAUCAUGUUAUCACGUGAUAAGUUUCAAGUUAUCACAGAAGUUUGUUAUAACGUGAUAUGUUUCACAUUAUAAUAUGCUAAAAAUUUCAUGUUAUAAAUUGAUAAAAUUUCACAUUAUAACAUGCUAAAAAUUUCAUGUUAUAACGUGAUAAAAUUUAACGAUAUAACAAGUUUCAGAUUACAAUGUGAUCCGUUUCACAUUGUAACAUGAUACAUUCCAUGUUAUAACGUGGUAAGUUUCACAUGAUAACGUGAAACAUAUUACGUUAAAACAUAAGUUUCACAUAACGUGAAAAAGUUGGCCUCGCAGAGGACGUCAACUUGUUGCGACCCUGUGGUCACUCACAUCCUUUCAAGGUGGCGUUAAGGACACAGGAAGAUACAGCUAGAGGUGGCCUCUAUGGUUGAGUGAUGCGCAAAACAUGGAUUUGCUGACCUUUUUACGAAGUCAUGGCGUACCAGAAGAUUGCCUCUUAUGCUGGAGCAAGAACAUAUGGAUGCCACAGUCAUUGGGUUCAUAGAUGACAGUCUGGCUGGCUACAUCCCAACAUAUGAAGAUGGGAUAGCAGCAAGACGCUUCUGUUUGGAAAACAAAGGUGCAAAUAAAGGAACAAGAGAAUAAAAAAAAAAAAACAUUUGCUGCUUGAAAAACUAAAGAAAAAGAUGGGUGCUGGGAAUGAGGAUAAUGAAGGUGAUCAUGAGGAGACUUCAACUGAAAAGCGGAAAAGAACCUACACAAAAAACAACAAAUGGGCUGAAAAGCCGACCAGAAAAGUUGAGUUGGGGUGAAUUCAUGAAGGUAAACAAAUAAGGAAUCGCAGAGGAGGGGGAACGAGGAUGUGUCCAAAGAGUCCAAAAAGCUGGUAUAUUACACUACGCUAAAGACAUUUUCUUUACAAAUGGAAAAAGUAGAUUUGGAAGAUGUGAAGCAUUCAGUAAUGCAAUAUUAGACGAUUAGGAGGAAGCUGUACUUGAUGAAGAUAUGACAAUUGGCAACCUCUGCAAAGUACUAAGGUUUUACCAUUGCACUAAUAGACAGAUAGACUCUGAUGGGGAAAGCUCUGAUGCAAAUAUUGAUGUACAGCUGAGAGACAAGAGGAUGAUCCUCAAACCAUCGUCAUUCAGUCGGCUGAUUUGAAAGAAUUUGAUGCCGAUUUAAUUUCUGACUCAUCUGAGGUGAUGAUUGGCCAUUUCCUUGGAGAACCCAUGGCAAGUCAGCUGGAUGACACUUUGAUGCAUCAGCCCACCCUGCAAUUUGAAAUAGACGAGCUGGCCAUCCCAGCAGUCACUCUUCCCUUAUUAAGCACAGCAACAUUCAGCACUCCAGACACAGCUUUUACAGGUGAUCAGGCAAGUGAUUCUACAGCGCCAUAUAAUCUUGUCAUUGCCAUAAAACUUCAGAGUCAAUCUUCUGGAGAAGAUGAUUAGCCUGUUUAAGGACGCAGCACAGCAAACACUCCUUAAAAUACACUUACAACGAUGAAAAAGGAGCUGAUGCAGAUGGUGUCUCAAGGGAUGUCGAUGCUGCAUUUUGGACAGAGUUUAUGGACCACACAGCUGAGGGGGAGGAUGUGGAGUUCCAUCACUAUCUCCUAGAUGGCGGGAAGAAGAGUGGAAAUCCUUUGGCCAAAUUCUGCUGAAAGGAUUUGAAGACCAUGGAUACUUGUCGCCUUGCCCCUGUUUUCACAGUGGCACUUAUUUUUGGUGUGAAAAUAGUCUCAGAUGAUUUAUUUGUAAGUCUUCUCCUGUACAUAAGUCAAUCAGAUAGUGAUCUGAUAACCACUGCCUUAAAAGAUUAUCUUUCUGGUGAGGACAAAGAUGAACUACUCGAUCUUCUGGACCACUUGGAUGUAACAUGUCUUCCCACAAAAGAGAAUAUGAAAGGCAUCCUUCUAAGUGGCACCCAAGCAGUUGAUCCAAAAACCAAGAUAUGCAGCAGGAAAAAAAAUCAUUAAUUGUUUUCACCUCCCUAAAAGAAGCAUUUGUGAGCUCACAAGAUCUCCUCAAAAUGUAUCAGGAUAAAAAUCCAACAACAAAAAAGCUUUUGAAGCUGCUGACGGCAUCUCUUACUACUCAAGCAGAGAAUCAAAGUUUGUGUUUUCUGCAACAUCAGAGGACUGGAUGAUACAGGACUUAGAAAAUUAAGGUUUGUCAAAGGGUCAGAUGUUAUCUCUGUUGACAAGGUUGAGAUCCUCUUCACACCAGCAGCUGGACGAGCAAGACGACCAGUAGCUCAUACUUGUAGGCCAGUUCUGGAACUCCCAUGGACAUCCACUUCUUACCCAGAAUUACGCACUGAAAUGGAGAGCAUACUUGUUGCUGAAAGCUCCUUUCAGUUCAACAUAGUUUAGGUCCUGAGCACUCUGGAGAAGGUUUUCGUCCAGGAUAUCCCUGUACCCAAGUACAGCAUUCAUCUUCCCUUCGAUUGGAACCAGUCUUUCUGUCCCUGCAGCUGAAAAACACCCCCACCACCAUGCUUCACUGUUGCAUACACCUCUACUAAUUUCACUUCUAUGACAAUAACGGGGGUGCCAUUCCCCAGCUGGCGCGCUCUCCAGCACCCCCUCUAAGGACUCCAAAAGGACUGUUUGGUGCAUAGGCAUUGGUGUAGCUGGGGAUCGGAUUUCCAAGGUCCCUGCCUUCAGCCACCGCCCAGCUCACACUGUACCCGACCCCUCUGGCCCCUCCCACAGGUGCUGAGCCCAUGGGAAGGGGAACCCACGUUACCCUUUCGGGGUGCAGGCGCUUGCCUUCGAGCCCCACCUCCAGGCCUGGCUCCAGAGGGGGGCCCCGGUGACCCGCGUCCGGGCAAGGAAAACCUUAAGCCAUUAAUAUUUUUAUCAUAGGGGUCUUUUAGCCAUGCUUUGUCUGGUCCCUCACCUAGGACCUCUUUGCCAUGGGUGACCCUACCAGGGGCGUGAAGCCCCAGACAACUUAGCUCCUAGGAUCAUUGGGACACACAAACCCCUCCACCACGAUAAGGUGACGGCUUCCAGGAGGGGUUGAGUCGGCGUGUUUUGUUCAAAUCGAUUACUGUGAUUCGUUGCAAAAGGAAGGCAGCCGCAUGAGGUGAAUGCAUGCAGAUUCAUUUCCACCUGUAUAUACCGGUUUCGUCAGCUCAUUUUAUUGAUUGCAUCGCUCACCUUUAAAAAAGAGUUUGGGAAGGUGACCUAACACAGGCGUUUGCUUUUGUGAAGCUAAAGGCUAGUUACACUGUGGUAAUGCCAGAUUUUGAUGGGCACUGCUGGCUGGCGCCGUGUUUGUAUCAUUUUAAUUAAUGAUACUGUAUUAGUGAUUUUUUUUAGCUUUUUAAAUUAGCGAUUGAACAUAACUUUGGGUGCUUUUGUGUUGAUUCAAUAU
Molecule: RNA transcript, 3785 nt
Organism: Phyllopteryx taeniolatus (common seadragon)
Lineage: Eukaryota; Metazoa; Chordata; Actinopteri; Syngnathiformes; Syngnathidae
Gene: slc35c1
Gene name: solute carrier family 35 member C1
Exons: 4
Source: RefSeq, a predicted model, not a curated record